This 454-nucleotide ribosomal RNA is filed under the name uncultured bacterium. RNAcentral describes it as "partial 16S ribosomal RNA". It matches the Rfam family "Bacterial small subunit ribosomal RNA", at positions 28 to 507 of the family's 1533-position model. The record is from RNAcentral.
GAUGAACGCUGACAGAAUGCUUAACACAUGCAAGUCUACUUGAACUUCGGUUUGGGUGGCGGACGGGUGAGUAACGCGUAAAGAACUUGCCUCACAGUUAGGGACAACAUUUGGAAACGAAUGCUAAUACCUGAUAUUAUGAUUUUAGGGCAUCCUAGGAUUAUGAAAGCUAUAUGUGCUGUGAGAGAGCUUUGCGUCCCAUUAUCUAGUUGGAGAGGUAACGGCUCACCAAGGCGAUGAUGGGUAGCCGGCCUGAGAGGGUGAACGGCCACAAGGGGACUGAGGCACGGCCAUUACUCAUACGGGAGGCAGAAGUGGGGAAUAUUGGACAAUGGACCAAAAGUAUGAUCCAGCAAUUCUGUGUGCACGAUGACGUUUUUCGGAAUGUAAAGUGCUUUCAGUUGGGAAGAAAAAAAUGACGGUACCAACAGAAGAGGUGACGGCUAAAUACGUG